Molecule: ribosomal RNA, 484 nt
Filed under: uncultured bacterium
Lineage: Bacteria
Description: partial 16S ribosomal RNA
Rfam family: Bacterial small subunit ribosomal RNA
Source: RNAcentral
AUUGAACGCUGGCGGCAGGCCUAACACAUGCAAGUCGAGCGGAUGAAGGGAGCUUGCUCCUGGAUUCAGCGGCGGACGGGUGAGUAAUUCCUAGGAAUCUGCCUUGUAGUGGGGGAUAACGUCCGGAAACGGGCGCUAAUACCGCAUACGUCCUGAGGUAGAAAGUGGGGGAUCUUCGGACCUCACGCUAUCAGAUGAGCCUAGGUCGGAUUAGCUAGUUGGUGGGGUAAAGGCCUACCAAGGCGACGAUCCGUAACUGGUCUGAGAGGAUGAUCAGUCACACUGGAACUGAGACACGGUCCAGACUCCUACGGGAGGCAGCAGUGGGGAAUAUUGGACAAAGGGCGAAAGCCUGAUCCAGCCAUGCCGCGUGUGUGAAGAAGGUCUUCGGAUUGUAAAGCACUUUAAGUUGGGAGGAAGGGCAGUAAGUUAAUACCUUGCUGUUUUGACGUUACCAACAGAAUAAGCACCGGCUAACUUCGUG